Molecule: ribosomal RNA, 326 nt
Filed under: uncultured bacterium
Lineage: Bacteria
Description: bacterial SSU rRNA
Rfam family: Bacterial small subunit ribosomal RNA
Source: RNAcentral
GACGAACGCUGGCGGCGUGCUUAACACAUGCAAGUCGAACGAAGUUAUCCAGACAGAAGCCUUCGGGUGGAAGAUUGGAUAUACUUAGUGGCGGACGGGUGAGUAACGCGUGAGCAACCUGCCCUGCAAAGGGGGACAACAGUUGGAAACGACUGCUAAUACCGCAUGACACAUCGAGGGGGCAUCCCUUUGAUGUCAAAGAUUUAUCGCUGAAAGAUGGCCUCGCGUCCCAUUAGCUAGUUGGUGAGGUAACGGCCCACCAAGGCGACGAUGGGUAGCCGGACUGAGAGGUUGACCGGCCACAUUGGGACUGAGAUACGGCCCAG